This is a long non-coding RNA of Trachemys scripta elegans, 2122 nucleotides long. RefSeq lists it as uncharacterized. NCBI's taxonomy places the organism in Eukaryota, Metazoa, Chordata, Testudines, Emydidae. The record is from RefSeq and is a predicted model, not a curated record. The transcript is spliced from 3 exons.
GGAAAAGAGUGUUCUUAAUUCAGGACACUGGACUGAGGAAAGCACAAAAAAAUGUAAUGUAGGGAACAAUCCUGGACUGGCUGGCAAUGGACAAGCUGAACUAAUAGGCUGUUGUGACCUCUGCUUCUAGUAUUUCUUUUUCUGCUCUGUGUUAGCUGCUACUUCCUGGUGUGUGUGCUGUGGUGUGUUUAUGUAUAAAAUGGACAGCGCUCUAAGCUUUAUAGUCCUAAAAUGAUGUGUCCUUUUGUAUGUUCUUAUUUAAGGGCCCAUUCCAGCCAAGCAGGAUGCUCUCAGCAGCCACAAAGCCCAGAUUGACGUCAGUGUGAAUUCAAAGUUCUCUGAACUGUGCAGGGUCGGGUCCUACGUGUGGAAAUAGUGUGCGGUGAGAUUUAGCAGGACUAUCUGGGAUGAACAGAUAAGAGGGCGAUCACUGUGACUUGGAAUGAAUCCAUGGAAUCCGCAAGAACAGUGGCCUUUGCCAGCUCUCCAACAAGCUGCUGAAAAAAUUGGUAUCCAGUGCACAACUUUAUUCACUGACGAAAUGGAGCCACCUCUUGGAUGAAAGGUAGCAGCCGUUUAAUAGCCUACAAAACACUGCUCAACACUUUGACACAAGAAGUGAAACAUGUGACAUCAAAGUGAAAGCGCAGAAGGAAUUUACAUAAUCAAAACGUAAUUGCCUGAGUGCAAAUGUGGUCAGAAAAUCCCUAUUCUUCCCAAAAGUGGCAUGAAACCAUUAAAUUCUUCAAGUGGAGGAGUUAGCCAAAGGUUUCUCUGCUUUGCAGUUCCUUCCCCAGCAGUAGAGGCAAGCUGGGGCAGAGAAUAGCUACCACGGUGAUUUAGAGACUUUGAACUACAGCACCUUCCAUCCGAGGAUCUGAAAGUACUUCAUUGGCAUUUCUAUGGAGCUUGUCACCACCGUAGUACCUGAGUGCUUUGGAAAAGUUGGGCAAAAUCCUGGCCCCACUGAAGUGAGUGGCAAAAUUCUCAUUUACUUCAUUGAGCCAUUGAGUUGAUCCUCAAAACACAACUGUAAAAUAAAUCUUAAUAUCCCCAUUUUACGGAUGAGGAAAGUGGGAUGCACAGAAAUUAAAUGACUUGCCCAAGGAUGCCACACAGGAAGUUAGUGGCAACAGCAGAAGUAGAACCCUAACUUUCUAGCUCCUUGAUCUGACCCUCAACAACAGGGCCAUCCUACAUCUGGCCAACUGAAUUAGGCAUAUGAAGGGAGUACUGUUCCAUAGCCUAUUGCUAUCCUACUGCUUAUUGUCAAUGGCAGUAUUGCACACAGGGGCAGCAUAGGGUAUGGUCCUCUAAAUGCAAGUUCAUUGAUAUUAGAGCAGAGAGGUCCAUGGCCUAGAUUAUCUUAGUUUUGAGUCUGGAGAGUUAUUCACAACACUCACAACGUAAGGCCCUAUCUAAGCCUAUCAACCUUCCUUUUAUAAGCCUGUUGUAUAAUCCUAACCUUUUCUUUUCACACCAUUAGAAAAGUUUGAUUGGACGUUGAUUUCUCUGAGAAUCCAUUUUUUGUUUUUGUUUUUCUAUGUUCUAUUAACCGUCCAUCUCCUCCGCUUUGUCAUCAUGUUCUUGUUCUGUUGUCAUUCAAACAACUUUACACGGGAGUUGGAGGGGAGAAAGGUCAGAGGUUACACUUUGGGAGGCCAAAGAAAUAAAAGGGUAGCAGAUAUACAAAUGGCCUGAUUUUGCAACAUCCUGAACACUUUGCAAUUCCCUUGCGUUGGGAGAUAUGGGAAUUUAGUGCCUUGCAAUAUUCAGUCUUGUAUAGCUGCUUUGAAAAUUCAUGACCAAGUUAACUGCACUCAGUCCAUAUUCAAACUUUGUACCAUAGUCCAUCUGGGAUCCAGUGCCAAAUUGCUACUGAUAUUAGCAGGAAUUUUGUGCAUCAACAGUGGCAGUAUUUGGGCCAUUAUAAUGUAAUAGUAUGUUUGCAUAAAUCCUACUAUGGGGCAAAUAUCUCAAUUAUAGAUCCACGUGGGUCCUCUACUGCCCUUUUCCUCUUGAUUCAUGCAACAGACUCUAGUGGUUUCAAUGGUGUUUUUGUACUGCAUCCCAUAUCAUUAGAGCUUGGCAAAACUUUUCCAUAAAAAAAUUUCCAUAAACA